GGCUGAAAUUCGCCUUCACGAAGUCGGAAUUGCUAGUAAUGGCAGGUCAGCAUACUGCCGUGAAUACGUUCCCGGGCCUUGUACACACCGCCCGUCACACCAUGAGAGUUAGGAAUACCCGAAGCCUGUGAGCUAACUUUAAUAGAGGCAGCAGUCGAAGGUAGAACUAAUGAUUGGGGUGAAGUCGUAACAAGGUAAC
Molecule: ribosomal RNA, 199 nt
Filed under: uncultured bacterium
Lineage: Bacteria
Description: partial 16S ribosomal RNA
Rfam family: Bacterial small subunit ribosomal RNA
Source: RNAcentral